RNAcentral lists this ribosomal RNA (468 nucleotides) under uncultured bacterium. RNAcentral's name for it is "partial 16S ribosomal RNA". It matches the Rfam family "Bacterial small subunit ribosomal RNA", at positions 28 to 507 of the family's 1533-position model. The record is from RNAcentral.
GAUGAACGCUGGCGGCGUGCCUAAUACAUGCAAGUCGAACGGAAAGGCCCAAGCUUGCUUGGGUACUCGAGUGGCGAACGGGUGAGUAACACGCGGGGGAACUGCCCUGCACUUCGGGAUAAGCCUGGGAAACUGGGUCUAAUAUCGGAUAGGACCACUUCUUGCAUGUUGUGGUGGAAAGAUUUUUCGGUGUGGGAUGAGCUCGCGGCCUAUCAGCUUGUUGAUGGGGUAUUGGCAUAGCAAGGCGUAGACGGGUAGCCGGCCUGAGAGGGUGUAGGGCCACAUUAGAACUGAGCGACGGCCCAGACUCGGAAGGGAGGCAGAAGUGGGGAAUAUUGCACAAUGGGCGCAAGCCUGAUGGAGCAACGCCGCGUGGGGGAUGACGGCCUUCGUGUUGUAAACUCCUUUCGCUAGGGACGAAGCGUUUUUGUGACGGUACCUAGAGAGAAAGCACCGGCUAACUACGUG